Molecule: ribosomal RNA, 329 nt
Filed under: uncultured eukaryote
Lineage: Eukaryota
Description: partial 18S ribosomal RNA
Rfam family: Eukaryotic small subunit ribosomal RNA
Source: RNAcentral
CCCUUAGAUGUUCUGGGCCGCACGCGCGCUACACUGACGAUGGCAACGAGUUUUUCCUUCGCCGAAAGGUGUGGGUAAUCUUUUGAAACAUCGUCGUGCUGGGGAUAGAUCAUUGCAAUUUUUGAUCUUGAACGAUGAAUUCCUAGUAAGCGCGAGUCAUCAGCUCGCGUUGAUUACGUCCCUGCCCUUUGUACACACCGCCCGUCGCUACUACCGAUUGAAUGGUUUAGUGAGGACUCCUGAUUGGCGCCGCCGCCCCGGCAACGGAGCAGCGGACUGCCGAAAAGUUGUUCAAACUUGAUCAUUUAGAGGAAGUAAAAGUCGUAACA